CAGUCGCCGCGGUAAUACGAAGGGUGCAAGCGUUAAUCGGAAUUACUGGCGUAAAGCGUGCGUAGGCGGUGAGUUAAGUCUGCUGUGAAAUCCCCGGGCUCAACCUGGGAAUGGCAGUGGAUACUGGCUCGCUAGAGUGUGUCAGAGGAUGGUGGAAUUCCCGGUGUAGCGGUGAAAUGCGUAGAGAUCGGGAGGAACAUCAGUGGCGAAGGCGGCCAUCUGGGACAACACUGACGCUGAGGCACGAAAGCGUGGGGAGCAAACAGGAUUAGAGACCCGUGUAGUCCCUGUCUCUUAUACC
RNAcentral lists this ribosomal RNA (301 nucleotides) under uncultured bacterium. RNAcentral describes it as "partial 16S ribosomal RNA". It matches the Rfam family "Bacterial small subunit ribosomal RNA", at positions 509 to 808 of the family's 1533-position model. The record is from RNAcentral.